Molecule: non-coding RNA, 30 nt
Filed under: Mus musculus (house mouse)
Lineage: Eukaryota; Metazoa; Chordata; Mammalia; Rodentia; Muridae
Source: RNAcentral
UUAGCGGACACCUGUGCUUCAUUCUGUGGA